Molecule: ribosomal RNA, 381 nt
Filed under: uncultured bacterium
Lineage: Bacteria
Description: bacterial SSU rRNA
Rfam family: Bacterial small subunit ribosomal RNA
Source: RNAcentral
UACGAAGGGGGCUAGCGUUGCUCGGAAUCACUGGGCGUAAAGGGCGCGUAGGCGGCGUUUUAAGUCGGGGGUGAAAGCCUGUGGCUCAACCACAGAAUUGCCUUCGAUACUGGGACGCUUGAGUCUGGUAGAGGUUGGUGGAACUGCGGGGUGUAGAGGUGAAAAUUCGUAGAUAUUCGCAAGAACACCGGUGGCGAAGGCGGCCAACUGGACCCAAUACUGACGCUGAGGCGCGAAAGCGUGGGGGAGCAAACAGGAUUAGAUACCCUGGUAGUCCACGCCGUAAACGAUGAAUGCCAGCCGUUGGGGGGCUUGCCUCUCAGUGGCGCAGCUAACGCUUUGAGCAUUCCGCCUGGGGAGUACGGUCGCAAGAUUAAAACU